AGGACGAACGCUGGCGGCGUGCUUAACACAUGCAAGUCGAGCGGAAAGGCCCUUCGGGGUACUCGAGCGGCGAACGGGUGAGUAACACGUGAGCAAUCUACCCUUAGCUUCGGGAUAGCUCCGGGAAACCGGAAUUAAUACCGGAUACGACUGCGGUCGACAUCGGCUGUGGUGAAAAGAUUUAUCGGCUAGGGAUGAGCUCGCGGCCUAUCAGCUUGUUGGUGGGUAACGGCCCACCAAGGCGACGACGGGUA
Molecule: ribosomal RNA, 254 nt
Filed under: uncultured bacterium
Lineage: Bacteria
Description: partial small subunit ribosomal RNA
Rfam family: Bacterial small subunit ribosomal RNA
Source: RNAcentral